This 25-nucleotide non-coding RNA is filed under the name Arabidopsis thaliana (thale cress). RNAcentral also lists the same sequence under 1 other name. The record is from RNAcentral. Lineage: Eukaryota; Viridiplantae; Streptophyta; Magnoliopsida; Brassicales; Brassicaceae.
GUAGAAUAGUACCCUGCCACGGUAC